Molecule: ribosomal RNA, 468 nt
Filed under: uncultured bacterium
Lineage: Bacteria
Description: partial 16S ribosomal RNA
Rfam family: Bacterial small subunit ribosomal RNA
Source: RNAcentral
GACGAACGCUGGCGGCGUGCUUAACACAUGCAAGUCGAACGGAAAGGCCCUGCUCUUGUGGGGUGCUCGAGUGGCGAACGGGUGAGUAACACGUGAGUAACCUGCCCUUGAUUUUGGGAUAACUUCAGGAAACUGGGGCUAAUACCGGAUAGGAGCUCCUGCUGCAUGGUGGGGGUUGGAAAGUUUCGGCGGUUGGGGAUGGACUCGCGGCUUAGCAGCUUGUUGGUGGGGUAGUGGCUUACCAAGGCUUUGACGGGUAGCCGGCCUGAGAGGGUGACCGGCCACAUUGGGACUGGGAUACGGCCCAGACUCCAACGGGAGGCAGCAGUGGGGAAUAUUGCACAAUGGGCGGAAGCCUGAGGCAGCAACGCCGCGUGCGGGAUGACGGCCUUCGGGUUGUAAACCGCUUUCGCCUGUGACGAAGCGUGAGUGACGGUAAUGGGUAAAGAAGCACCGGCUAACUACGUG